RNAcentral lists this long non-coding RNA (14978 nucleotides) under Triticum aestivum (bread wheat). RNAcentral describes it as "long non-coding RNA (TAES_LNC014647)". The record is from RNAcentral. Lineage: Eukaryota; Viridiplantae; Streptophyta; Magnoliopsida; Poales; Poaceae.
GCAGCUGCUGCUGCUUCAGUAUUCAUGCGAGCAGCUGAUGCUUGCUCCACUCGAUCCACGGGUUCGGCUGUACUGUGUAGCCAUUAGCUCGCAACAGUUACUUAGUUGUAUGUGUAACGAUUCACCAUCUCGAACUGAUUCGACUCAAAUUGGAAAUGGUGCGUAGAAUUUGCAAAUGUCAUUUGGAAAUGUGUUCUAACUUGUAAAUUGCCGCUCUUUCUCACUGGAGCAGCGGACAAUGCUACACGUACCAAAAGUACUCCCUCCGUUUUUUUGUUUGCAUAUAUAAAAUUUGGUCAAAGUCAAACUUUGUGACUAGCUUUGUAUGAAAAUAUAUCAACAUUCACACUAUGAAAUCAAUAUUAUAAAUGCAUGAUGAAAUUAAUUUUCAUAACAUAUAACUUUUGUUUUGUGGAUGUUGAUAUUGUUUCUAUAGUCAAACUUUACAAAGUUUGACUUUGACCCAAAUCUUACAUACGAACAAAAAAGAAACGGAGAAAGUAAUGCAAGAGUUCUACUUAAAAGCUGAUGUGAAGAAGAUUAAUUGGGUCAGGAUUAGCAGCUGAGGCCCACCCCCGUUGAAAUUCAUGGGGCCAAUAGGAUUUGUUUAGAAGGUUACGUAGGUCUUCGUGGUCUAUUCGUAGAUGUAGCAUUAUUGAUAGAGCGGCAGUGUUUUUCCUUUCACUUCUGCUUUGAUACACCCUUUCUAAAUAUAUCAAAACAUAUCAACGGUGGAGGUCCAUCCAUUAUUGAUUAGCAUUAUGCCACCAUUAAUCCCCUUCCCUUGUCACAUCUCGACCUCGGGCUAAUGCUUGGUGUGUCACACCCAUGCGAAGGAUGUGGCUCAGGCUCUAUUUAAAUGUGCCCAAGCAAAAUAAGUAUGACAAUUCCUUGAGCGGCAUUAAUGAAGAAAAUAUACCGUAGAGGCAAUAAUAAAGUUGUUAUUUAUAUUUCCUUAUAUCAUGAUAAAUAUUUAUUAUUCAUGCUAAAAUUGUAUUAAUUGAAAACUUAGAACAUGUGUGAAUACAUAGACAAAACAAAGUGUCCCUAGUAUGCCUCUACUUGUAACAUCCCAAAUUUCCAAUUUGGAAUGUUAUACAUAGGUCAUCAUAUGCAUAUCAUAUUUUAUUUGCAUUUUGGUUUUGUGAUCCUAAAAUCCUAAGCAACUCAAGGACCCACGGAGAGAGUUGGGGAUUUUUAUUAUUUUCAUAUUUGAACUUUCUCAAAUAUUGAAAAGUGGAUCAUUUUGGUUUUAUUUUUUCUCUCUCCAAAUAAUAUUUCAUAUCAAAAAUAUAUGAGAGGAGAUAAUAUGACUUCUUCAAAAUAAAUGAAAUAUUGGAGGAAAAAUAUUAAAAUCAAAUAAAAUAUUUUAUUUGGAUUUAUUGCUAUUUUAUUUAAAUUAGAAAAAUAUGCAUUUUCAAAAUUGCAUUUUUAGGCCAAGAAAAUGUUCAAUUUGUUCUAAAUUUUUUAUUUAGACUGUGAAAAUUUGUUUUGACAUUUUUAGAUUUUUAUUUUAUUUUUAUUUAGAACUUUUCUCGGUAGAACCGUAUUUAAAAAAAAGUUUCGGACAGAACUGGGNNNNNNNNNNNNNNNNNNNNNNNNNNNNNNNNNNNNNNNNNNNNNNNNNNNNNNNNNNNNNNNNNNNNNNNNNNNNNNNNNNNNNNNNNNNNNNNNNNNNNNNNNNNNNNNNNNNNNNNNNNNNNNNNNNNNNNNNNNNNNNNNNNNNNNNNNNNNNNNNNNNNNNNNNNNNNNNNNNNNNNNNNNNNNNNNNNNNNNNNNNNNNNNNNNNNNNNNNNNNNNNNNNNNNNNNNNNNNNNNNNNNNNNNNNNNNNNNNNNNNNNNNNNNNNNNNNNNNNNNNNNNNNNNNNNNNNNNNNNNNNCGCCCACUGCGCCCCUGUCGCCGCCAGCCGUUGCCGCCCCUCCGCCCCACACCACCCCGCGCCUCGCCGGAGCUCCGCUGGAAGCCGCCGCCAUCGGAUCCGCCGCCACCGCCGGAUUUGUCGGUUUUCGUCACGGUUUUUAUUCGGUUUAGGUAAAACCGCCAAUUUUUCUUUAAAACCCCAGAUGCAUUUUUUUACAGUUUUCGUUGGUUUAUUUAUUUAGCGGACGUUCGUCCAUUCGUUCGUUUGAACGAACGUUGUUCGCCGGUUAGGUUCAGACAGCGAACGUUCGUUCCUUAGUCUUUUAUUUUUAUUUUAUUUUCGGCCAGGGACCUAUCCACGAUUAAUUUUAUCGCAGAUUAACCCCUGAUCUUCAAACCCUCGCCGUUUCCUAACCGUUUGUCCAAAUCCAGUGAAACCAACGCCAAAAUAUUCGUCUCGAACCCCUCUUUCUGUUUAAUCAACUUGAACAGGGUUUUUGAAAAAUUAAAAUUUGGUUGCAAGCAGAUUUGCAUUCGAAGUUCUUUUGACCAUAGUUUCAGUUUCGUACCUCCGAUUUGAUCGAUUCUUUUUGCAAAUCGAACCUCUUCAGUUCAACUUUCAGUUUGGAUCUUCUUAUUUGAUGUUUUACCUUGCAUAUUUGCUUGAGUGCUUAUGUAUGCUAUUGUUUGUUUGCGAUAGAAUUCCCGGAGUGCGCAGCGUGCUACUACGAGUCACUAGGUUUUGCGGAUCAUCGGCAAGGCAAGUAACACAUUGAUCAUACCCCUUUAUUACCCAAUUUUUAUGCAUUAGUUACAACCCUCAAACAUUGCACGAGUAGGAUUUCUUAACAUGUGGGUUUUGGGAAGUUGUUGAUGAGGUAGAACCUAUUGCCCUUUUAUUAUCAAACCCUGGGAGUUACUUCUAUGUUAUGAUAUUUAUUGCCAUGCUAUGCUCGUAGACGUGGUUUGGGUUUGAGUGUAUCCAUGACAAAUGUGAGAUUAUCAAUUAAUGGUUUACUUAAGGUGGCUACUUCAACACACAUCUGGGUGGAUUGGUUGCGGGCACCUAGGGAUAUACCAGUGAUGUCCUUUUUGGUUCGCCACCCAGGCUCAAAGGGAUCAUAAGAUUAUUCAUGCUAGAAACUUCCGUGUGCAGCCACAAGCUAUUAUGGGCUCUAGCAUAGUGGAGUAAGUUGCAUGACCUCUUCCAAUGGUAGGCUAGCAGAUGUAGGGGGUGUAGGUUGGUACUGUCUAACCGGGUUAGAGUAAAUGCUUCUGAAAGACUGUGUAUCGGUCAUCCAUUUCUCAAACACCAUGUAGUGCGAGAAAUCCAACGGAGAAGAUCAAGUCUUGUGGGGAAAAGUGCGCAAACCUCUGCAGAGUGUACAAACUAAUCAUGGUUAGCCGUGCCCCGGUUAUGUACAUCUUGAGUAUCUGGUUCUUGGAUUAUCUUGUGGAUCUCGUCACCCUAAAUUAAUUUGUUAGGAUGUUAAUUACUUUUAAUUGGGAUUGAGAUGGGGUUUUACCAUUCUCAAUGUUUUUUCAACUACCAUGAUAGUUAAAUAAAAUAUAUUCCUUUUUUAUAGGAAAAGUUGGCUUUUCGCAAAAAACAUUAUAACCAUAGAGCCUCCACCAGCCAUAUAUGCAUGUAGUGAUAGCUAUUACUUGUUUCAUUGCUCUACUGUGUUAUCUUGCUAGCAUAUCCCAUGUGCUGACCCGUUUUCGGGCUGCAACAUAUCAUGUUGUAGACUUUUCAGACGAUGAGUAAGGUGCGCUAGGUCGUUGUCGUGCACUCACCUAUGCGUUGGAGUUGAUGGACUCACUUUAUCUUCCAAGCCUUCCGUUGUUAUCUUACUUAGAUGGCCUUAAGCCAUACUUAUUGUAAUAAGUUCUCUUUUGAGACAUUCGAUGUAAUAGGUGUGUGAUUGCCACUCUGUUAUAAAUCCUUCAAGUACUGUGUGUGUCAGCAUUACCGAUCUAGGGAUGACACUUAUGCAUAUAGAUUUGGCUGUUUGAGGUCGGAUCGCUACAAGAUGGUAUCAAAGCACACGCUGAAUGUAGGACACGACAACUAAGAUGAGCCACAGGUCACUCUUCUCUACUCAUUUCUGACUUCUCUCCAUCUUCUACUCUAUAGGAUGGCGGACACAAGGAACAAGUUUACACAGCCAGAUGAAGACACACCUUUUGGACGACACUUGAAGGAAGUCACUAGGUACCUGAACAUUGGAAUACCAAGCUUCACCGGGACCUACACCGUCACUUUACCAGAAGAAGAGCGUUGGAUGAUUCGAGUUCAAGUUCCAGGAAGGACGUUCACGCCAGUAACUGAGCCCAUAGAGUUUUCCUUCGAUGCACCAACCUGGAGUCUAGGAAAGAGCAUGGCAGCUCACAUCGUCAUAGGACGCAUCGACGAAGUUUAUCACAAGGAUCUUAAGGACACUAUUUACUAGAUAUGUGGGUGCCGAGAUGAGCAAUGGGAGAUGAUCAGCACCAGGAAGGACAGGUCCAUUGCAGCCUUCAUUCAGGAGUUAAACCAGCACAUUCGACGCCAUGAGAACCAAAUGUGCGCAAGCAUGAUAGAUCUGAAGAAGUUGAUGACUAGGAACAUGGAGCUGGAAGAGGAACUCAAGUCUACACGCGACGAAUACGAGGAGGAAAUCACCGUAUUGGUAGAGAUGAACGGCGUCCUGACAAGGAAGCUAGGAGUAUUCAUGGGAGACCCUGCGCCAGGAAGAGAUGACGACCAUCCCAAGGACUACAUCAUCAUCGACGACACUGACUCCGACCCUAGUGAUGAUGAUUAUGAAGACGAAGCCGGAGCAGAUAUCAUGGAGUCUUCUACCGAUCAAAAUUUCUAGUAGACCACCAUACUAUUAGUAGUAUUUCCCCCAUGUAUAUAUUAGUAGUCCGACCACUGUAAUGAUAGUUAGAUCGAUUGUAUGCCCUUACUUGAAAUUGUUUUGGUGUGAUAUGUUUGUGUUUGUCUCAUGUGCAUAUGGGUAGUGUUUUCGCACUAGACCUCAUUCUAUUCUAAUCUCUCCCCUCUAAACCAUCAGAUGCCUCCAAGACGUGACCCUAGAUUUGCUUUCCCACCGGAGCUCACUCAGUUGAUUCAACAGCAGAAUACACUGAUGCAAUUGCUAGUCCAGAACCAAGGCAACAACAACAACAAUAACAACAACCCACCGCCACCCCCUCCAGUUGACAACUUAGCCCAUUUUCUGAGGUUACAACCGCCGGUGUUUUCUAGUAGCACCGAGCCCAUAGUUGCUGAUGACUGGCUACACAGGAUUGGAAGGGAGUUAACCACUGUAGGUUGCACAGAUGCUGAGAAGGUGCGUUUUGCCGCACACAAUUGGAUGGACCUGCAGCCUCAUGGUGGGAGAAUUACACAGCCACCUUCCCUAUAGCCAAUGUUACUUGGGAGCAGUUUCAGCAAGCGUUCCACACUACUCAUGUCUCAACUGGAGCUAUGAGUAUGAAUAAGCGUGAGUUUCGCAACUUACGACAGGGCAAUCGUACUGUGGGGCAGUACGUGGAUGAGUUUAGUAAGUUAGCCCGCUACGCCCCAGAUGAUGUGGCCACAGAUGCCGUGAAGCAAGAGAAGUUUAUGGAAGGGCUGAAUGAUGAGAUGAGUAUACAGUUAAUGGUGGCGACAUUUAACAACUACCAGGAGUUGGUAGAUAAGGCUCUUAUGAUUGAAGGGAAGCAGCAGCAGAUUGAGAGCCGCAAAAGGAAGAAUGGACAAGGGAAGUACAAUUCAGGAGCUCAACAGAAACCUCGGUUCACCCCGAACUCUGGAGGAUAUACCCAUAACCAUGGAGGCCAUAACCAAAAUGGAGGAAGCUCGCAUAACCACAAUGGCUCUAGGAAUGGAAAUGGGAGUGGAGCAAGCAGUCAGAACCGCUCUAACCCAAGCACACCCGCCAAGAAGGACCAAAGUCAUGUUACUUGUUUCAAGUGCGGGAAGACUGGACACUAUGCCAAUGAGUGUCCUGAACUCAAGAAUGGUAAUGGCAAUGGAAGCUCUGGGAAGAAGCCCAACCCUUUUAAUAAGGGCCGAGUGAACCACGUGAACGUGGAGGAGGUUGAAGAGCAGCCAGACACAAUUAUCGAUAAGUUUUUGGUUAAGUCAUUUACCGCUCUUGUUCUUCUCGAUACUGGUGCAUCACAUUCAUACAUUUCAAGGGGAUUUGUGGACAAGUUUAAGUUACCCACCUUAGACCUUAGGACACCCUUGUUAGUAAGCUCACCAGGAGCAGAGUAUAUGGCCAGCCAAUGGUGCGACCGGAUACCCUUAAACAUUGGCAGCCAUAUUUUCCCCUCAGACCUAAUAAUUCUGGAGUCACAAGGAUUGGAUGUGAUAUUGGGUAUGGAUUGGCUAUAGAAGUAUGGGGGAAACAUUGACUGUGCUAGUAGGUCAAUUCUACUCAACACCCCGGAGGGAAAAAUGAUUAAGUAUGUAUCCAGGCAUACCCCAAAGAGGACUCACCUAAACUCCUUAACAGGCGUUGUUCAGGAGGAAGUGCCUGUAGUGAAGGAUUACCCGGAUGUAUUUCUAGAGGAACUACUAGGCAUGCCGCUGGAUCGAGACAUUGAGUUUUUGAUAGAGCCGUUGCCAGGCACCGGACCAGUAUCGAAGAGACCAUACCGGAUGUCCGCGAAUGAUCUGGAGGAGAUUAAGAAACAUAUUAAGGAGUUAUUGGAGAAAGGUUACAUUCGACGAAGCUCGUCACCAUGGGGAGCCCCAGUGCUCUUGGUUGAGAAGAAGGAUAAAUCUCUGAGAAUGGUGGUUGAUUAUCGUGCAUUGAAUGAAGUGAUGAUCAAGAACAAGUACCCACUGCCGAUGAUCAAUGAUUUGUUUGACCAGCUGCAAGGAGCUAAAGUAUUUUCCAAGAUCGAUCUUCGAUCAGGAUACCACCAAUUGAAGAUCCGAGAACAGGAUAUACCCAAGACAUCCUUCACCACAAGGUACGGGCUAUAUGAGUACACGGUUAUGUCAUUUGGACUGACAAAUGCCCCUACCUAUUUCAUGAGUAUGAUGAAUAAGGUGUUCAUGGAGUUCUUGGAUAAAUUUGUCGUGGUGUUCAUUGAUGACAUUUUGGUGUACUCGAAGAAUGAAGAGGAACACAAGGAGCAUUUGCGUUUAGUUCUUGAGAAGCUCAGGGAACAUCAGUUAUACGCCAAAUUUAGCAAAUGUGAGUUUUGGAUGAAGGAAGUUGGAUUCCUUGGACAUGUUAUAUCAGGAGAAGGUAUAGCAGUAGACCUUACUAAGGUUCAGUCAGUCACUGAGUGGUUGGCACCCACCUCAGUUGGAGAGACCCGCAGUUUUCUUGGACUCGUGGGGUACUAUCAGAGAUUCAUCGAGAAUUUCUCUAAGAUAGCGAAGCCCAUGGCAGAGUUGUUGAAGGAAGACACCAAGUUCAAGUGGACAGAUGAAUGUGAGGCAAGUUUCCAAGAAUUGAAGAAACGUCUGGUUACUGCCCCAGUGCUGAUUCUGCCGGAUAUACGCAAGGAUUUCCAGGUGUAUUCGAUGCAUCUCGCUUAGGACUUGGCGGCAUGCUUAUGCAAGACAGAAGAGUUGUUUCAUAUGACUCACGUCAACUUUGACCGCAUGAGUUAAAUUAUGCCACACAUGAUUUGGAGCUAGCAGCUGUAGUGCAUGCACUCAAGACCUGGAGACAUUUUCUUAUUGGAAAUCAUUGUGAUGUGUACACGAAUCAUAAGAGUUUGAAGUACAUUUUCACACAGAAGGAGUGGAAUCUCAGGCAGAGGAGAUGGUUGGAGCUUAUAAAGGAUUAUGAUAUGAAGUUGCACUAUCAUCCAGGCAAGGCCAAUGUCGUAGCAGAUGCUUUGAGCCGAAAGAGUUACGCCAAUACCCUCGUAAGCGGAGGAUUACCAGCAGAGUUAGCUGAAGAUCUCAGGGAGCUACGUUUGGAGAUAGUCCCUAGAGGUUUUGUUGCAGCAUUGGAAAUUCAGUCGACAUUAUUGGGAAAAAUUCGAGAAGCUCAGAAGGAUGAUAAGGGAAUUCAGAGAUAAAGGAGAAAAUGAGCAAAGGUAAAGCCAAGGGUUUCCGUGAGGAUGAGCAUGACACCUGGUGGUUUGAGGACCGUGUUUAUGUACCCAAUAAUGCAGAGAUCAGGAAGUUAAUACUUUAGGAGGCUCAUGACUCGCCAUACUCAAUACACCCUGGAAACACCAAGAUGUAUUUGGAUUUGAAGGAGCAUUUCUGGUGGACUGGUAUGAAGAAGGAUAUUGCCGAUUAUGUAGCCGUAUGUGAUGUAUGUCAGAGAGUGAAGGUAGAACAUCAGAAACCAACAGGAUUACGACAACCUAUGCCGAUACCUGAAUGGAAGUGGGACAAUCUUGGCAUGGAUUUCAUCACUGGAUUACCCAGGACCCGACCGGGAUACAAUUCUAUUUGGGUAGUAGUGGAUCGUUUGACCAAAGUGGCUCACUUUAUCCCAGUGAAAACCACCUAUACGAGUGCGAAGUUGGCCAAGAUAUAUAUGACCAGGAUCGUAUGUCUGCAUGGAGUUCCGAGGACCAUCGUAUCAGAUAGAGGAACACAAUUUAGGUCAAAUUUUUGGCACCAACUGCACCAGACUUUGGGUACCAGGCUAGAGUUCAGUACAACCUUUCAUCCACAGACAGAUGGACAGACUGAGAGAGUCAAUCAGAUUCUGGAGGACAUGUUGAGAGCUUGUGCGCUCGAUUAUGGAUCUAGUUGGGAUGAUAACCUGCCUUACGCAGAGUUCUCAUACAACAACAGUUAUCAAGCUAGUCUGAAGAUGGCACCUUUCGAAGCUUUGUAUGGAAGAAGAUGCAGAACGCCGUUGUUGUGGGAUGAAGUUGGAGACCGCCAGUUGUUUGGACCAGAUUUGAUCAAAGAGUUAGAAGAGAAGGUUAAGUUGAUUCGAGACAGACUGAAGGUAGCUCAAUCCAGGCAGAAGAGUUAUGCAGACUCAGGUAGUCUAUGAAAUCGAAGAUAGAGCAUAUCUUUGUGUGUCACCAUUGCGAGGAGUUAAACGUUUUGGAGUUAAGGGAAAGUUAGCCCCAAGAUUUGUAGGACCAUACCGAGUUUCGGAACAUAUGGGAGAAGUAGCCUACAAGUUGGAGUUAUCCGAAGGACUGUCAGGAGUUCAUGAUGUGUUUCAUGUUUCCCAGUUGAAGAAGUGUCAUGCUGAGAUGGCUGAUAUUCCUCUGAGAGAUACAGUGCCCCUAGAAGCAAUUCAGUUGGAUAAUGAUCUGACCUAUGAGGAGAAACCAGUCAAGAUUCUCGAGUUUGCGAGCCAAGUCACACGCAGCAAGGUUAUCAAGUUUUGCAAAGUUCAGUGGAGCCACCAUACCGAGGAUGAAGCCACCUGGGAACGAGAGGAUGAUCUACGGAAAGACCACCCAAACCUAUUUUCUAGCCAACCCGAAUCUCGAGGGCGAGAUUCACCUUAAGGGGGGUAGGUUUGUAACAUCCCAAAUUUCCAAUUUGGAAUGUUAUAUAUAGGUCAUCAUAUGCAUAUCAUAUUUUAUUUGCAUUUUGGUUUUGCGAUCCUAAAAUCCUAAGCAACUCAAGGACCCACGGAGAGAGUUGGGGAUUUUUAUUAUUUUCAUAUUUGAAUUUUCCCAAAUAUUGAAAAGUGGAUCAUUUUGGUUUUAUUAUUUUUCUCUCCAAAUAAUAUUUCAUAUCAAAAAUAUAUGAGAAGAGAUAAUAUGACUUCUUCAAAAUAAAUGAAAUAUUGGAAGAAAAAAGUUUAAAUCAAAUAAACUAUUUUAUUUGGAUUUUAUUGCUAUUUUAUUUGAAUUAGAAAAAUAUACAUUUUUCAAAAUUGCAUUUUUAGGCCAAAAUGUUCACUUUGUUCUAAAUAUUUUAUUUAGACGAUGAAAAUUUGUUUUGGCAUUUUUAGAUUUUUAUUUUAUUUUUAUUUAGGAGUUUCUCGACGGAACCGUAUUUAAAAAAAGUUUCGGACCAAACUGGGCCGAAGGCCCAGCCGGCCCACCGAGAGCCGUCGCCUCCUCGAGUCGGGCGCGACAUNNNNNNNNNNNNNNNNNNNNNNNNNNNNNNNNNNNNNNNNNNNNNNNNNNNNNNNNNNNNNNNNNNNNNNNNNNNNNNNNNNNNNNNNNNNNNNNNNNNNNNNNNNNNNNNNNNNNNNNNNNNNNNNNNNNNNNNNNNNNNNNNNNNNNNNNNNNNNNNNNNNNNNNNNNNNNNNNNNNNNNNNNNNNNNNNNNNNNNNNNNNNNNNNNNNNNNNNNNNNNNNNNNNNNNNNNNNNNNNNNNNNNNNNNNNNNNNNNNNNNNNNNNNNNNNNNNNNNNNNNNNNNNNNNNNNNNNNNNNNNNNNNNNNNNNNNNNNNNNNNNNNNNNNNNNNNNNNNNNNNNNNNNNNNNNNNNNNNNNNNNNNNNNNNNNNNNNNNNNNNNNNNNNGCUCCGCCGGAAGCCGCCGCCGGAUUUGUCGGUUUUCGUCAAGGUUUUUUUCGGUUUAGGUAAAACCACUGGUUUUUCUUUAAAACCCUAGAUGCGUUUUUUUGGGUUUUCGUCGGUUUAUUUAUUUAGUAGACGUUCGUUCGUCCGUUCAUCUUAACGAAUGUUGUUUACCGGUUAGGUUCAGACAGCGAACGUUCGGUCGUUCGUUAGUCUUUUCUUUUUAUUUUAUUCUCGGCUAGGGACCUAUCCGCGAUUAUUUUUAUCGCAGAUUAGCCCCUGAUCUUCAAACCCUCGCCGAUUCCUAACCGUUUGUCCAAAUCCAGUGAAACCAACGCCAAAAUAUUCGUCUUGAACCCCUCUUUCUGUUUAAUCAACUUGAACAGGGUUUUUAAAAAAAUUAAAAUUUGGUUGGAAGCAGAUUUGCAUUCGAAGUUCUUUUGACCAUAGUUUCAGUUUCGUACCUCCGAUUUGAUCGAUUCUUUUUGCAAAUCGAACCUCUUCAGUUGAACUUUCAGUUUGGAUCUUCUUAUUUGAUGUUUUACCUUGCAUAUUUUCUUGAGUGCUUAUGUAUGCUAUUGUUUGUUUGCGAUAGAAUUCCUGGAGUGCGCAGCAUGCUACUACGAGUCACUAAGUUUUGCGGAUCAUCAGCAAGGCAAGUAACACAUUGAUCAUACCCCUUUAUUACCCAGUUUUUAUGCAUUAGUUACAACCCUCAAACAUUGCGCGAGUAGGAUCUCUUAACAUGUGGGUUUUGGGAUGUUGUUGAUGAGGUAGAACCUAUUGCCCUUUUAUUAUCAAACCCUGGGAGUUACUUCUACGUUAUGAUAUUUAUUGCCAUGCUAUGCUCGUAGACGUGGUUUGGGUUUGAGUGUAUCCAUGACAGAUGUGAGAUUAUCAAUUAAUGGUUUACUUAAGGUGGCUACUUCAACACACAUCUGGGUGGAUUGGUUGCGGGCACCUGGGGAUAUACCAGUGAUGUCCUUUUUGGUUCGCCACCCAGGCUCAAAGGGAUCAUAAGAUUAUUCAUGCUAGAAACUUCCGUGUGCAGCCACAAGCUAUUAUGGGCUCUAGCAUAGUGGAGUAAGUUGCAUGACCUCUUCCAGUGGUAGGCUAGCAGAUGUAGGGGGUGUAGGUUGGUACUGUCUAACCGGGGUUAGAGUAAAUGCUUCUGAAAGACUGUGUCUCAAUCAUCCGUUUCUCAAACACCAUGUAGUGCGAGAAAUCCAACGAAGGAGAUCGAGUCUUGUGGGGAAAAGUGCGCAAACCUCUGCAGAGUGUACAAACUAAUCAUGGUAAGCCGUGUCCCUGGUUAUGAACAUCUUGAGUAUCUGGUUCUUGGAUUAUCUUGUGGAUCUCAUCACCCUAAAUUAAUUUGUUGGGAUGUUAAUUACUUUUAAUUGGGAUUGAGAUGGGGUUUUAACAUUCUCAAUGUUUUUUUUAACUACCAUGAUAGUUAAAUAAAAUAUAUUCCUUUAUUGUAGGGAAAAUUGGCUUUUCGCAAAAAACAUUAUAACCAUAGAGUCUCCACCAACCAUAUAUGCAUGUAGUGAUAGCUAUUACUUGUUUCAUUGCUCUACUGUGUUAUCUUGCUAGCAUAUUCCAUGUGUUGACCCAUUUUCGGGCUGCAACAUAUCAUGUUGCAGACUUUUCAGACGAUGAGUAAGGUGCGCUAGGUCGUUGUCGUGCACUCAGCUAUGCCGUUGGAGUUGAUGGACUCACUUUAUCUUCCAAGCCUUCCGCUGUUAUCUUACUUAGAUGGCCUUAAGCCAUAUUUAUUGUAAUAAGUUCUCUUUUGAGACGUUCGAUGUAAUAGAUGUGUGAUUGCCACUCUGUAUCCUUCAAGUAUUGUGUGUGUCAGCAUUACCGAUCCAGGAAUGACACUUAUGCACAGAGAUUUGGCCGUUUGAGGUGGAAUCGCUACACUACUUGACUAGUUCGUUACUCAAAGAUGGUUAAGUUUCCUGACCAUAGGCAUGUGUUGUAGUUUGAUGAACAGGAUCACAUCAUUAGGAGAAUGAUGUGAUGGACAAGAUCCAUCCAUUAGCUUAGCAUAAUGAUCUUUAAGUUUUAUUUCUAUUGCUUUGUUCAUGACUUAUAUAUAUUCCCCUGACUAUGAGAUUAUGCAACUCCCGAAUACCGGAGGAACACCAUGUGUGCUAUCAAACGUCACAACGUAACUGGGUGAUUAUAAAGAUGCUCUACAGGUGUCCCCGAAGGUGUUUGUUGGGUUGGCAUAGAUCAAGAUUAGGAUUUGUCACUCUGAGUAUCGGAGAGGUAUCUGUGGGCCCUCUCGGUAAUGCACAUCACUAUAAGCCUUGCAAGCAAUGUGACUAAUGAGUUAGUUGCGGGAUGAUGCAUUACGGAACGAGUAAAGAGACUUGAUAGUAACGAGAUUGAACUAGGUAUGAUGAUACCGACGAUCGAAUCUCGGGCAAGUAACAUACCGAUGACGAAGGGAAUAACGUAUGUUGUUAUUGCGGUUUGACCGAUAAAGAUCUUCGUAGAAUAUGUAGGAACCAAUAUGAGCAUCCAGGUUCCGCCUAUUGGUUAUCGACCGGAGAUGUGUCUCGAUCAUGUCUGCAUAGUUCUUGAACCCGUAGGGUCUGCACGCUUAAUGUUCGAUGAUGAUUUGUAUUAUGAGUUAUGUGUUUUGGUGACCAAAGUUUGUUCGGAGUCCCAGAUGAGAUCACGGACAUGACGAGGAGUCUCGAAAUGGUCGAUAGGUAAAGAUUGAUAUAUUGGACGAUGAUAUUCGGACACCGUAAUGGUUUCAGAAAGGUUCGGGUAUAUUUUGAAGUACCAGCGGGUUAUCGGAACCCCCCGGGGAUUUAUUGGGCCUACAUGGGCCUUAGUGGAGAGAGAGGGGUGCCCGCAAGGGUACCCCCAUGGGAGACUGAAUUGGACCAGGGGAAGGGGCGGCGCCUCCUUUCCCUCUCCCUCUCCCUCUCCUUCCUUUCCCCCUCCGAUGAGAAAGGAAAAAGGGAGGGGGCGGAUCCUACUAGGAGUGGAGUCAUAGUAAGACUCCCCCCAUGGCGCGCCCCUUGGUGGCCGGCGUCCUCCUCCCCUCCUUUAUAUACGGGGGCAGGGGGCACCCCAUAGCAUAUCAAUUGUUCUCUUAGCCGUGUGCGGUGCCCCCCCUCCACAUUUUACUCCUCCGGACAUAGCGUCGUAGUGCUUAGGCGAAGCCCUGCGCGGAUCACAUCACCACACCGUCGUGAUGAAGAAACUCUCCCUCGACCCUCUGCUGGAUCAUGAAUUCAGGGACGUCAUCGAGCUGAACGUGUGCUGAACUCGGAGGUGCCGUACGUUUGGUGCUUGAUCGGUUGGAUCGCAAAGACGUUCGACUACAUCAACCGCGUUAAUCUAACGCUUCCGCUUUCGGUCUACGAGGGUACGUAGCCACACUCUCCCCCUCUCGUUUCUAUGCAUUUCCUAGAUAGAUCUUGCGUCAUAGUAGGAUUUUUUUAAAAUUGCAUGCUGCGUUCCCCAACAAUGGUAUCAAAGCCAGGUCUAUGCGUAGAUGAUAUGCACAGGUAGAAAACAAAGAGUUGUGGGCGAUAAUAGUCAUACUGCUUACCACCAACGUCUUAUUUUGAUUCGGCGGUAUUUUUGGAUGAAGCGGCCCGGACCAACCUUACAUGACCAUGUUCAUGAGACCGGUUCCACUGACAGACAUGCAACUUGUUUUGCAUAAAGGUGGCUGGCGGGUGUCUAUUUCUCCAACUUUAGUUGAAUCGAGUUUGACUACGGCCGGUCCUUGUUGAAGGUUAAAACAUCACACUUGAUGAAAAAUCGUUGUGGUUUUGAUGCGUAGGUAAGAACGGUUCUUGCUAGAAGCCCAUAGCAGCCACAAAGUAGAGGACGUCUAACUUGUUUCUGCAAGGCAUGUUGUGAUGUGAUAUGGUCAAGACAUGAUGUGACAUAAGUUAUUGUAUGAGAUGAUCAUGUUUUGUAAAAGAUAUCGACAACUGGUAGGAACCUUAUGGUUGUCGCUUUAUUGUAUGAAAUGCAAUCGCCAUGUAAUUGCUUUACUUUAUCACUAUGCGGUAGCGAUAAUUGUAGAAGCAAUAGUUGGCGAGACGACAACGAUGCUACGAUGGAGAUCAAGGUGUCAAGCCGGUGACGAUGGAGAUCAUAACGAUGCUUUGGAGAUGGAGAUCAAAUGCACAAGAUGAUGAUGGCCAUAUCAUGUCACAUAUUUUGACUGCAUGUGAUGUUUAUCUUUUAUGCAUGUUAUUUCGCUUAGUACGGCGGUAGCAUUAUAAGAUGUUCCCUCACUAAAUUUCAAGGUAUAAGUGUUUUCCCUGAGUAUGCCCCGUUGCGACAAUUCGUCGUGCCAAGACACCACGUGAUGGUCGGGCGUGAUAAGCUCUACGUUCCAUACAACGGGUGCAAGCCAUUUUUGCACGUAUAGAAUACUCGGGUUAAACUUGACGAGCCUAGCAUAUGCAGACAUGGCCUCGGAACACUAAGACCGAAAGGUCAAACAUGAAUCAUAUAUUAGAUAUAAUCAACAUAGAGAUGUUCACCAUUGAAAACUAUUCCAUCUCACGUGAUGAUCGGACAUGGUUUAGUUGAUAUGGAUCACGUGAUCAUUUAGAUGACUAGAGGGAUGUCUAUCUAAGUGGGAGUUCUUAAGUAAUAUGAUUAAUUGAGCUUUAAUUUAUCAUGAACUUAGUCUUGAUAGUUUUUGCAUAU